This 645-nucleotide ribosomal RNA is filed under the name Miconia subcompressa subsp. beverlyana. RNAcentral describes it as "eukaryotic LSU rRNA". The stretch from base 274 to 429 matches the Rfam family "5.8S ribosomal RNA". Lineage: Eukaryota; Viridiplantae; Streptophyta; Magnoliopsida; Myrtales; Melastomataceae. The record is from RNAcentral.
CCUGCGGAAGGAUCAUUGUCGAAAUCGAACGGAAGAACGACCCGCGAAUCGUCAUUGCGUACUAGACAGAGCCCGUGAGCACCUAACGCUCAUGGGACUCGCGUCGCGUCGGCGUGGGUGUACUCGAGACCAGCGUCGUACCGGCGGACAAACAACGUCAGCACGGAUCGUGCCAAGGAGCUGCAUGGAGAGAAUCGUCGUCCCACGCCUUUGAUAGUCCUCGAUGCGGGACGGGGGGCGGGGGAUGUACGCAAUCUCUACUCAAGUCUAAACGACUCUCGGCAACGGAUAUCUCGGCUCUUGCAUCGAUGAAGAACGUAGCGAAAUGCGAUACUUGGUGUGAAUUGCAGAAUCCCGCGAACCAUCAAUUCUUUGAACGCAAGUUGCGCCCGAAGCCAUUCGGCCGAGGGCACGCCUGCCUGGGUGUCGUGAAUCCCCUUGCCCCUAGGCACCCGCAUGAGCAUUGGCGGGGAUAUAUGCUCGGGCGCAGAAUAUGGUCUCCCGUGGGAUCGGCAUGCACGGCAUGUCGAGGUGCGGUUGGCCGAAAAUCGAGCAAUGGCUGUGACGGGCACCACGGCGUUCGGUGGAUCGAAUGAGAUUGGCUGCGCCGUGGGCUCGGCAUUAGGCGGGCUCCGGACUUUGAGU